RNAcentral lists this long non-coding RNA (3888 nucleotides) under Homo sapiens (human). RNAcentral describes it as "non-protein coding lnc-SLC26A3-2:1". The record is from RNAcentral. Lineage: Eukaryota; Metazoa; Chordata; Mammalia; Primates; Hominidae.
UUUAUGUUUGUUUACAUUUUUCUCAACUGUGAAUGGUGCCAUGUAUGGUCUGCAGGUGUUUUCAUAAGUUUUGAUAAAUUUUAAUUUUUAUAAUAUAUUUGUGUAUAUUUUAUGGUAGUAAUAAAAUAGACUGGUAUCCACAUAUAUUUUAUAUAUUCAUGACAUAUAUUUUUCUUAAUUUUUUUGAUAUUUCUAGGAAAUUACAUCAUUUCUGAAGAAUAAUAGCCCCCUAAAGAUGUCCAUGUCCUAUUUCCUAAAACCCCCAAAUAUGUUACAUUAUGUGGUGAAAGAGACUUUGAAAAUAUGGUUACAAUUAUGGACCUAGAUAUGGGCUAAGUAAUACAUGAGACCUUAAAAGUGGAGAACUUUUCCCAGCUGAUGUUGGAAGAGAUGAGUCAGAGAGGUGAGGCAGAAGGGUGUUCAGAGAGAUUCAAAGCGUGAGAUGGAAGUAGGGAGCUAUGAGCCAAGGAAUGUGGGUGGCCUCUAGAAGCUGAGAAUAUCCCCCAGCUGACAGGCAGCAAGGAAACCAGAAAGUCAGUGCUGCAACUACAAGGAACUGAACCUUGUCAAAAACCUGGCUGAAUCUGGAAGCAGUUCUUUCCCAGAGCCUCCAUUAAGUAACACAGACAGCCAAUACCUUGAUUUCAGGUUUGCAACACCCAGAGCAGAAAAAGCCAAUUGAGCCCACUGGACUUCUAACCUACAGAACUGAGAUAGUAAAUUGUAUUGUGUAGAGCCACUAAUUUUGUUGUAAUUUGUCAUGGCAGCAAUAGUUAACUAAUGCAAAGGGGUGGGAAUCCAGAAGUGGCUUAGCUGGGUGAUUCUGGCUUAGGACCUCUCAUGAGGUUGUAGUGAAGUUGUCAGCCAGGGUGUGACUGUGGUGGAAGGAUGUACUUUCAAGCUGACUCACAUGGUUGUUGGUAGGCCUCCAUUCCUCACCAUGAGGGCCUCUUUCCAGGGCUGUGCAUGAUGUGGCAGCUGACUUCCCAGUGUGAGUGGGGAGAGAGAGAGAGACAGUGAGAGCAUGUGGGUACACAGUAUAGAAGCCAUAAUGUUUUUUAAAGUCAAAUCUCUAAUAUGAUGUAUCGUUAUGUUUGCUGUAUUCUGUUGUUCACAUGGACCAACCCUGGGAUAAUAAUGAAUUACAUUACAGAGGAAUGUGAUUACCAGGACGCAGGGAUCAUUGGGGGAUCAUGUUGAAGGCUGGUUACCGUAAGUAUGUGUGCCUAAGAUGACAAACUGUCAGUUCCGUAUUACCUAAUUAGCCAUAUAUAAUCCCAGGUCUGCAGUGUAAUUUUAAGCAAGUUAUUUAGCCUCUCUAAAACUCCAGUUAUUCAUUCAAAAUUGAAAUAGUUGAAAUUAGUUUUAUGUGUCAACUUAGCUAGCUUAAGCAAAUAAGGUGUUUCUUAAAGGUCUCAGGACUUACUAUUUUUGAAUAUGCGAUUUGAAGAUUAAGGAUCUUGAGAUAUUUUUGAUAAGUUAAAGGAAUGGUUGAAUAUAGAAGACUAUCACUGAUUUACCUUGUCUCAGAUUAUUCUUGAACUGGUCAAGUUUGUCAUAUCAUGUGAAUAUGGCUGCUCCCUCUGUAAUGACAUAGAUUGUUCCUAGAGCUGCUGAGUGGUGCCUUUUUUGCAAGGGGCACUAUUCUCAAUGAGGUCUUUAUGAGUGGCACUUGUCAAGUUGUGCAGUGGGCAGUCUGUGUAUCCCUACACAGUGGCCCUGUAUUUAUGUAUUUUUGACAAUUUUAGGACUUAAGUCCGUAGGUAUAAGUGUCUCUUUUGUUUGUUGGUGUGUCUUGUAGCAUAGUGCCUAGCGCAUGAUUACUCAAUAAAUAUUUGUUAAAAGAAUGGAUGAGUGCAUGAGUGAAUGGUUGAUGGGGCAGUAUCACUAUUCAACUACUUAAAUGCUUUUCAUCGUAUACCAUUCUUUUAGUCAUCACAAUAUUUUUUAUUUAAUUUUAUAUUGUGAUACCAAGAAGAUUCUAUUUACACUAAAGAAUGAAAUAGAACAAUUUGUAAGAUAGUGGAAUAAAUGAAGGCAUAAGUACUUGCUAGUUAGUUUCUGAUAGAUUAAGGCAAUUUUCCAAUUCAUCUUUCAUUACAUAAGUCCAAAAUGGAUUCACAGUAAACCUGUUUGUAAAUAGUAGUCUCUUAUGUGUUGAAGAAUUGCUUUCAGUUUGUGUAUGCUCAUCAUAAGUAUAGAAAAGUUUAAUAUUCUUAAGUAUUUUAUGGGUGGUAUGCAAGAUAGUUUAGUUGAAGAAUCUUUUCAGGAAUAUUUUAGUUGAGGAUAUUGUAUCUUGAGGAAUUAUGCUAUUCUCUCUUACUUAAACCUUUAGAAAUGUGUAUGGUUUUAAGUAAAAAUUUAACAAAGACCUAGGAAGAGUGUGUUUUUGUAACUCCACUAAUAUUUAUUAGCUACAUUUCUACAACAUUUUUUUUUGAGACAGGGUCUUGCUGUGUUGCCCAGGCUGGAGUGCAGUGGCCUAAUCACGGCUCACUGCAGCUUCGAGCUCCUGGGCUCAGGAACUCCUGGGCUCCUGGAAGCUCCUGAGAUACUCCUAUCUCAGCUUUCCAAGUUGCUGGGACUACCAGUGCCUGUCACCACUGGUAUUUUUUGUAGAGACAGGGUUUUGCUAUGUUGCCCAGGGUGGUCUCAAACUCCUGGGUUCAAACAGUUCCCCCGCCUUGGCCUCCCAAAGUGCUAGGAUUACAGGCAUGAGCCACUACGCUUGCCCUACAUUUCUGCUUAUUAGUUUCAGUUAUAAGAAAUUAUGAGGGUAUGUGUGUCACAAUCCAAAAAGAAGUACUCUUUAAGACUGAUGCUUUUUUAAAUUGUAUUUUUGGUCAUCCAAAAGAGUUGUGUUACUCAACUUCAAUUCAAUUUUGAUGUGUUUCUUAUGUGAAAAUCGCUAUUCUUUUAUUACAGGAGAGGCAUAGUCCUUGCUCUUUAGAGUUUAUGAUAUAGUAUUUGAUGAUUUGGGAUAUGUAAAACUAAGAGAAGUAUAAACAUAACUUUAAUAUGAUCAGUAUUCAAAAAGAUAUUAACAAUGUGCUAUGAAGUUUCAAAAUAAACCAUAUUGUUUGAAGAAUUAGAACAAGUUUCAUUAAAUAAAGUAGGGGGUGAAAGAACAGGUAUAAUUCUGAAAAGCAGGGUUGGAGUGGCGAAAACAGUGUAAGAAAACUGCAGGUAUCUUUCAGCUUAUAAAAUCCUGAACCAUUUGGCCUGUGCAACUUUUCAUGGCUAACUUUUUACUUUUAAUUAUUGCUCUGAGCGAUGAUAAGAUGGACUUGAAUAAUUUAAACUCUGUAAAAAUAAUACUGAAUAAUUUAGACUCUAUUGUAAAAAUAAAUUAUAUGAUUAAUUUGCUGUUCUAUCCUGCAACCAGCCAGUUUACUGAGGAUAGGAGAUUGUGGUAGUAUUAGCUAGACUAGAGGAUAAUAUAGAAUAUAGAGACUUAUAGAACUGAGAGGGACAUAGAGAGACCAGUUAAUUCAUCAUCCCCGUUUUGAAGAUUAAGAAACAACAGAGAGAUAAGUGCCCAGUUUUCUACACAUAUUUACUCUGAUGGAACUGUUCCUGUGUAAGUCUAUGUCUUUCAACUGUCAGUCCAUUAGGAUUAUUUGAGGUAGGCGUCUAAUUCAUUUUUGUUAAGGUAACUGAAUCUGAAAUAUUUAAUUUGUGCAGAAUCUGUAGAUUCCUACAAACAAAUCAGUCCAGUGCUUUCCCUGCUUUCUGUGUCUCUUACUAGAGAUCUCAUUUAUAGCUCACCUAGAAGACGGUAGAGAAUAUAUGAAAUAUAUAAUAUCAAUUUGGCUGUAGGAGAGACUGUGAGUGGAAUGGAUAGGAACAUAAGUAUGCCAGUUGGCAUAAGUCCUUCAUGGCACAGAA